RNAcentral lists this ribosomal RNA (460 nucleotides) under uncultured bacterium. Its description in RNAcentral is "partial 16S ribosomal RNA". It matches the Rfam family "Bacterial small subunit ribosomal RNA", at positions 338 to 795 of the family's 1533-position model. The record is from RNAcentral.
CCUACGGGAGGCAGCAGUGAGGAAUAUUGGUCAAUGGCCGAAAGUCUGAACCAGCCAAGCCGCGUGAAGGACGACUGCGCCAAGCGUUGUAAACUUCUUUUAUAAAGGGAUAAAACCAGGCUCGAGUGCCUUAUUGCGUGUACUUUAAGAAUAAGGAUCGGCUAACUCCGUGCCAGCAGCCGCGGUAAUACGGAGGAUGCGAGCGUUAUCCGGAUUUAUUGGGUUUAAAGGGUGCGUAGGUGGGUUGUUAAGUCAGUUGUGAAAGGUUGCGGCUCAACCGUAGAAUUGCCAUUGAUACUGGCAGUCUUGAGUACAGGUGAGGUAAGCGGAAUUCGUAGUGUAGCGGUGAAAUGCUUAGAUAUCGCGAAGAACCCCGAUUGCGAAGGCAGCAUACUAACCUGUGACUGACAUUGAUGCACGAAAGUGUGGGUAUCAAACAGGAUUAGAUACCCCUGUAGUC